CUACGGGGCGCUGCAGUGAGGAAUAUUGCACAAUGGGGGGAACCCUGAUGCAGCAACGCCGCGUGGAGGAUGACGCAUUUCGGUGUGUAAACUCCUUUUAUAUGUCAAGAAAAUGACGGUAGCAUAUGAAUAAGCACCGGCUAACUCCGUGCCAGCAGCCGCGGUAAUACGGAGGGUGCAAGCGUUACUCGGAAUCACUGGGCGUAAAGGACGCGUAGGCGGGUUGGAAAGUCAGGUGUGAAAUCCUGCAGCUUAACUGUAGAACUGCACUUGAAACUUCUAAUCUAGAGUAUGGGAGGGGGAGAUGGAAUUAGUGGUGUAGGGGUAAAAUCCGUAGAUAUCACUAGGAAUACCUAAAGCGAAGGCGAUCUCCUGGAACAUUACUGACGCUAUGGCGUGAAAGCGUGGGGAGCAAACAGGAUUAGAUACCCCAGUAGUC
This 439-nucleotide ribosomal RNA is filed under the name uncultured bacterium. RNAcentral's name for it is "partial 16S ribosomal RNA". It matches the Rfam family "Bacterial small subunit ribosomal RNA", at positions 339 to 795 of the family's 1533-position model. The record is from RNAcentral.